This 73-nucleotide transfer RNA is filed under the name Acidobacteria bacterium SCGC AG-212-P17. It matches the Rfam family "tRNA". From Rfam's summary of the family: Transfer RNA (tRNA) molecules are approximately 80 nucleotides in length. Their secondary structure includes four short double-helical elements and three loops (D, anti-codon, and T loops). Further hydrogen bonds mediate the characteristic L-shaped molecular structure. tRNAs have two regions of fundamental functional importance: the anti-codon, which is responsible for specific mRNA codon recognition, and the 3' end, to which the tRNAs corresponding amino acid is attached (by aminoacyl-tRNA synthetases). tRNAs cope with the degeneracy of the genetic code in two manners: having more than one tRNA (with a specific anti-codon) for a particular amino acid; and 'wobble' base-pairing, i.e. permitting non-standard base-pairing at the 3rd anti-codon position. RNAcentral also lists the same sequence under 3 other names. Lineage: Bacteria; Pseudomonadati; Acidobacteriota. The record is from Rfam by way of RNAcentral.
GGGCCUGUAGCUCAACGGUUAGAGCAGCAGACUCAUAAUCUGUUGGUUGUAGGUUCGAAUCCUACCGGGCCCA